Molecule: long non-coding RNA, 1650 nt
Organism: Sciurus carolinensis (gray squirrel)
Lineage: Eukaryota; Metazoa; Chordata; Mammalia; Rodentia; Sciuridae
Exons: 4
Source: RefSeq, a predicted model, not a curated record
CUCAGCUCCUUCCUCCGGGCCGGGCGUCCUGUGCUCGGGCAUCUCCGCUGACUCUGCGCAGCCUGUGCGCCCCGCGAGCCCCGGAGGUCCCUCGGGAGGACGGCGGGUCACCCCGGAGGAAGCAAGGAGCCACCUGGGCUGCGUGCACUAAGAGUGGUCCCCAGUUUGGGAGUGUGCUCCGCCACCAAGCGGGGGUUCCUGGUGAACUGCGGUGACAGGCUGCUUCUCUGAGCUGGGUCCUGUGUCCUCCAUCAGAUCUGCUGCCAUUCAGUUCCAGUUUGUCCCCAAGCACCUCAGAAUCCAUCUCCAGGACUGUGUCUCCUCUGCUGUGUGAGGCCCCCGUGGCUCUGGCUGAGACUGUCUCCCUGUGAGCUGCAGGUGCUGUGAGAUCCCCAGGAAGGAUGUCUGGACUCCCCAGAAUGCAGGAAAUGGUACUGUGACUGUGGAUUUUCAGGCAAAAGAAGGCAGCUGGUGAUCUGCUGGUGGUCUUCGGGCAGUCUGCAGUCUACUGGAAAACAAUUGGCAGGUGGACCUCAGGUGGUGAGUGAUGGGUAGGUGAAAGGCAGGUGAUGGACAGGCAAGAGGCAGGCAAACAGGCAAAUGGUGGAUGAUAGACAGCAGUCAAUGAGUCAUCUGCACUUAUAAAGUAGUCAAUAUGCUGGCAGACUGCAGGUGAUUAAGGUGGACAAAUGGGGUAAACAGCAGGGGAUCCAUGAGGAGCAAAGACUGCCUCACAGACAGAUUUUCCACUGCUUGGAACCCGAGUUACAAAGUUACAGAGUACAAGGAAUGCAGCCUCCCUCUAGUCCACCAUCUUGGAUCUCUUUCAUCUUUUUUUUAUUGGUGCUUUAUACUUUCAUAACCUCAUGGUGAAGAGAAAACCUAUGAAUGUAACCCAUGUGCUAAAGCCUUCACUAGGUUUAAUUACCUUCAAAUACAUUUUUAAAAAGCUCAUAGGAGAGAUCCUAUGAAUGUAUACAAUGUGGUAAAGCCCUCACUAGUUCUUCUUAUCUUCAUAUACAUGAUUAAAGUCAUACUAGAGUGAAGUGCUAUGAAGGUAAAUAAUGUGGGAUACCCUUCAAUUCAAAUCAUUUGACAACAUGAACAAAGUCAUACUGCUAUGAGUACUAUGAAUAUAAACAAUAUGGGAAAGGCUUUGGUGUUUUCAGUUCCACUAGAUAACAUGGGUUAACUCAUACUGGUGAGAAACCCUAUCAGGGUAAACAAUGUGGGAAAGUCUUAACUAGUUCUGGUCUCCUUCACAGACAUGAAGGAGAACAUAAUGGAGAAGAACCCUAAGGAUAUGAACAACGUGUUAAAACCUUAACUUGGUCCACUUUCUUCGGACUACAUAAAUGAACUCAAACUAGGGAGAGGACCAAUGAGUAUAAACAGCUUGGUAGUAUCCUCAUGAGGUCCUAUUAUAAGGUCACCCCCUCCCCCAGGUGCCAACAUGGCGCUGGCUGAGCUUCUCUUCCUGAUUUUACCCUCAUAACUUCUUCCCUGCAGCAAAUCAGUCCUUGCCACCUCAUCCCAGUACCUCGGAAAUAGGGCCCUGUCCAAUCAACUGCUACCCUGCCUCUCUCCCUGAACUAUUAGCUCUUCCCCAGCCCUAUAAAAGAGCAUGUAUUUUCAGAGUAAAGUGGAACU